Molecule: ribosomal RNA, 292 nt
Filed under: uncultured bacterium
Lineage: Bacteria
Also listed under: 2 other names
Description: partial 16S ribosomal RNA
Source: RNAcentral
GGACUACACGGGUUUCUAAUCCCGUUUGCUCCCCUGGCUUUCGCGCCUCAGCGUCAGAAAAGGUCCAGCACGUCGCUUUCGCCACCGGCGUUCCUUCCGAUAUCUACGCAUUUCACCGCUCCACCGGAAGUUCCACAUGCCCCUACCUCCCUCGAGAUCGGUGGUAUCCAGGGCCGUUCUCUCGUUAAGCGAGAGGAUUUCACCCCAGACGGACCGACCCGCCUACGCGCCCUUUAAGCCCAGUGAAUCCGAACAACGUUCGCACGGUUCGUCUUACCGCGGCUGCUGGCAC